GGCGGCAUAGCUCAGAUGGUAGAGCAAACGGCUCAUAUCCGUUUUGUCAGGGGUCCGAGUCCCUUUGCCGCUA
This is a transfer RNA of Sphaerochaeta pleomorpha str. Grapes, 73 nucleotides long. It matches the Rfam family "tRNA". Rfam says of the family: Transfer RNA (tRNA) molecules are approximately 80 nucleotides in length. Their secondary structure includes four short double-helical elements and three loops (D, anti-codon, and T loops). Lineage: Bacteria; Pseudomonadati; Spirochaetota; Spirochaetia; Spirochaetales; Sphaerochaetaceae. The record is from Rfam.